ACGUAGGUAACCUUCCCUUGAGCGGGGGACAACGUUUCGAAAGGAACGCUAAUACCGCAUACGUUUCCAGGGACUCCGGUCUCUGGGAGGAAAGCUAGGUCGCAAGAUCCGGCACUCGAGGAGGAGCCUGCGUCGCAUCAGCUAGUUGGUGGGGUAACGGCCUACCAAGGCGAAGACGCGUAGCUGGUCUGAGAGGAUGAUCAGCCACACUGGGACUGAGACACGGCCCAGACUCCUACGGGAGGCAGCAGUGGGGAAUAUUGGACAAUGGGCGCAAGCCUGAUCCAGCCACGCCGCGUGAGUGAUGAAGGCCUUCGGGUCGUAAAGCUCUGUGGGGAGGGACGAACCGCUGCUGGUUCAUAUCCAGCAGCAUGACGGUACCUCCUUAGCAAGCACCGGCU
Molecule: ribosomal RNA, 401 nt
Filed under: uncultured soil bacterium
Lineage: Bacteria
Description: bacterial SSU rRNA
Rfam family: Bacterial small subunit ribosomal RNA
Source: RNAcentral